Molecule: ribosomal RNA, 497 nt
Filed under: uncultured bacterium
Lineage: Bacteria
Description: partial 16S ribosomal RNA
Rfam family: Bacterial small subunit ribosomal RNA
Source: RNAcentral
GAUGAACGCUGGCGGCGUGCCUAAUACAUGCAAGUCGAGCGAACGGACGAGAAGCUUGCUUCUCUGAUGUUAGCGGCGGACGGGUGAGUAACACGUGGAUAACCUACCUAUAAGACUGGGAUAACUUCGGGAAACCGGAGCAAAUACCGGAUAAUAUUUUGAACCGCAGGGUUCAAAAGUGAAAGACGGUCUUGCUGUCACGUAUAGAUGGAUCCGCGCUGCAUUAGCUAGUUGGUAAGGUAACGGCUUACCAAGGCAACGAUGCAUAGCCGACCUGUGAGGGUGAUCGGCCACACUGGAACUGAGCCACGGUCCAGACUCCUACGGGAGGCAGCAGUAGGGAAUCUUCCGCAAAGGGCGAAAGCCUGACGGAGCAACGCCGCGUGAGUGAUGAAGGUCUUCGGAUCGUAAAACUCUGUUAUUAGGGAAGAACAUAUGUGUAAGUAACUGUGCACAUCUUGACGGUACCUAAUCAGAAAGCCACGGCUAACUACGUG